UUGAUUGCGUCUCUCUAUUUGACGAUUUGAUCCGAUUGGGAUCUCGAAUUUGAGUUUUGAUGAUUUCAAAAUUGGUGAUUUCAAAAUUGGUGAUUGAGCAGCCGAAGCACAUCGGGCACGAUGAAUGGGACGUUGCUAUGGAGAGACGCGACAAGAAAGUCGUCGAGAAAGCUUCAGCUCCUUCAUCGUGAUUCGAUUGCAUUCCCUUUUGUUCAUCAGGGGCUUCAGGUGAACAACUUGUGGUCACAACUCACAAAUAAAGUGUAUUCCAGAAGAAGAAGAAGCUGGGGAAUCUAGUACUGUUAUUCCCGUUUGAUUUUUCUUGGAGACAAGUUCGGAUAAAGCUUUGUUGCUUAAAAACGUUUUUCUGAUCUCGAAUUGAGACCUUAAUGACAUUUGGUUUAUAACUUCUCUGUUUGUUUGGGGUACAUGCUGUUAAGGUGCAUGACAUUUGGUUUACAAUACACUCUUAAUAAUAAUCCUGAAGAAUGGCUCA
Brassica oleracea var. oleracea is the source of this 496-nucleotide long non-coding RNA. RefSeq lists it as uncharacterized. Lineage: Eukaryota; Viridiplantae; Streptophyta; Magnoliopsida; Brassicales; Brassicaceae. The transcript has 2 exons. The record is from RefSeq and is a predicted model, not a curated record.